GCAUGAAGCCCCCCUCAAGAUGAGAUUUCCCAACUUCGGUUAUAGGAUCCCUCAGAGAUGAUGAGGUUAAUAGGUUCGAGGUGGAAGCGUGGUGACACGUGGAGCUGACGAAUACUAAUCGAUCGAAGACUUAAUCAAUUUUUUCAA
RNAcentral lists this ribosomal RNA (147 nucleotides) under Staphylococcus hominis. RNAcentral describes it as "partial 23S ribosomal RNA". It matches the Rfam family "Bacterial large subunit ribosomal RNA", at positions 2785 to 2925 of the family's 2925-position model. The record is from RNAcentral. Lineage: Bacteria; Bacillati; Bacillota; Bacilli; Caryophanales; Staphylococcaceae.